Molecule: non-coding RNA, 73 nt
Organism: Podarcis lilfordi (Lilford's wall lizard)
Lineage: Eukaryota; Metazoa; Chordata; Lepidosauria; Squamata; Lacertidae
Source: the annotation of a GenBank genome assembly
GGGGCUGUGGCUCGGUGGGCAGAACAUCUGCUUUGCAUGCAGAAGGUGGCAGGUUCAGUGCUUGGCAUCUCCA